UGGGGAAUCUUGGACAAUGGGGGCAACCCUGAUCCAGCCAUGCCGCGUGAGUGAUGAAGGCCUUAGGGUCGUAAAGCUCUUUCGCCUGUGAAGAUAAUGACGGUAGCAGGUAAAGAAACCCCGGCUAACUCCGUGCCAGCAGCCGCGGUAAUACGGAGGGGGCAAGCGUUAUUCGGAAUUACUGGGCGUAAAGCGCACGUAGGCGGACCAGAAAGUUGGGGUGAAAUCCCGGGGCUCAACCCCGGAACUGCCUCCAAAACUAUUGGUCUAGAGUUCGAGAGAGGUGAGUGGAAUUCCAAGUGUAGAGGUGAAAUUCGUAGAUAUUUGGAGGAACACCAGUGGCGAAGGCGGCUCACUGGCUCGAUACUGACGCUGAGGUGCGAAAGUGUGGGGAGCAAACAGGAUUAGAUACCCUGGUAGUCCACACCGUAAAACGAUGAAUGCCAGUCGUCGGGUAGCAUGCUAUUCGGUGACACACCUAACGGAUUAAGCAUUCCGCCUGGGGAGUACGGUCGCAAGAUUAAAACUUAAAUGAAUUG
This 539-nucleotide ribosomal RNA is filed under the name uncultured bacterium. RNAcentral's name for it is "bacterial SSU rRNA". It matches the Rfam family "Bacterial small subunit ribosomal RNA", at positions 355 to 912 of the family's 1533-position model. The record is from RNAcentral.